Molecule: ribosomal RNA, 502 nt
Filed under: uncultured bacterium
Lineage: Bacteria
Description: SSU rRNA
Rfam family: Bacterial small subunit ribosomal RNA
Source: RNAcentral
AGAUUGAACGCUGGCGGCGUGCCUAACACAUGCAAGUCGAGCGGUAACAGGUGUAGCAAUACAUGCUGACGAGCGGCGAACGGGUGAGUAAUGUUUUGGAAUCUUCCCAGUAGUGGGGAAUAACCAGUCGAAAGAUUGGCUAAUACCGCAUACGUCUGUAAAGGGAAAGCGGGGGCUCGUAAGACCUCGCGCUAUUGGAUGAGCCAAAGUCGGAUUAGCUAGUUGGUGGGGUAAUGGCCUACCAAGGCGACAAUCCGUAGCUGGUCUGAGAGGACGACCAGCCACACCGGAACUGAGACACGGUCCGGACUCCUACGGGAGGCAGCAGUGGGGAAUAUUGGACAAUGGGGGAAACCCUGAUCCAGCGACGCCGCGUGUGUGAAGAAGGCCUGCGGGUUGUAAAGCACUUUUAGUGGGGACAAAAGCUACGGAUUAAUACUCUGUGGUCUUGAUUUAACCCAAAGAAAAGCACCGGCUAACUCUGUGCCAGCAGCCGCGGUAA